Long non-coding RNA from Lathyrus oleraceus (garden pea), 1760 nucleotides. RefSeq lists it as uncharacterized. NCBI's taxonomy places the organism in Eukaryota, Viridiplantae, Streptophyta, Magnoliopsida, Fabales, Fabaceae. The record is from RefSeq and is a predicted model, not a curated record. The transcript has 4 exons.
UGGAGGGUGUGUGCAAAGCAAACAAGCCUUCGGGCCUGAAAUGUGAAGGCAAGGCCCAAGCAGAUUGGACAAGUAGCGGAGACUCCAUCUCCUUCACCUUCCUCGGUCAAUUUCAACAGACACAGGGAGAACCACAUCUUCAAGACCUCCCUAGAUGCGCCGGCCUAAACCAACGGCGGCGACCGCAAAAUCAUACCUCACACCGCCACGCGCCUCUUGACCGACAAGGGGAACGAAGCUCCGCCUAAUCGACCGGAGCUACCGCGAUGGUUCUCUCACGAAGCGAAGCGAACAUCGGCAAUGGCGAAAGAAAAAUCGCUACGAAAGGACAAGAGAUCUUACCGGCAAUGGCGAAAGAGGAUCCGUCGGUGAAGCCGUAUUCGGAACUCAGGCUUUUUGGAAGGGGUCGAAUGGUUCUUUAUCGGAAUUCUGUGGAAGAAACGGUCAUGAAUUCUUGGUUGAGAGGAGGAUUGAAGGUGUUGUCCGGUUGAAUAUGAAGGAGUUGUAGAAGUUCCUUUUCUGAAUUUUGCAGGUUGCGUUAGAGAAAAAGAAUUGGUGUGGUGGUUGAAGAUUUGGCUAUGGAGUUUGGAGUUUAGUGAAGGUGUGGAUUGGAAGGUGAAGGGUGAUGUUGAAGAGGAUUAGGUGAUGGAGGAAGAAGAAGACGAAUCUAGAAAACUGAGAAGUGGAGAUUGAAGAUGAAGGUUGAAGAAGGAGCUGGAAAAGUUUGUUAGAGGUUGAAGGAUUGAGGGCGAAAACGAUUUUGGAAUGAGAGGGAAAAUUUUCUGAAACCAAUGAUUGGCAAUGAUUGCAGCUUAUAUAGCAGGAUCUAAGGGGCAAAUUGGAGAAUUAAAUCUGAAAUGAUUCAAUCUGCACCAUCCAGCUGGCAUUAAGUGAAGGACAUGGUUGAUUACCAAGUGCAAUCACAGAGUUUCUCCAAGUGGUCAAAGCUGAAUCUGCAGCAAGGCUUCUCCUGUAGACUCCUUCUUGUUUUCCAAUGUGUUGAUUUGUGGGUCGCUUCCUGGAUUCACUAUGGAAACUUGAAGCUAUUUUCGGGCCAAGGAACAUUGAGUGACGAUGCCACCAGGUUUGUUUAGAAGUUAGUGACACAUAGCCUUGUGAUGAAUGUUGACGGUUAGUGUUAAUGCUGAUAGUAGCUUUUGGAAGAGUGGUUAAUGACAAAAUCUGUUAAGUGAAGUCAUUUAUGUAUUGUGAACACGGUUUGUGCAAGCUGAAAGGAAGAUGCCGUUGUGUAGUUAGGUAUCUUUCGGUUAUAAGCUGGAGGUCAAGAAGAAAAUGCCGGCAAGGCAAUAUUGCCAGCUCUAAGUAAAUGCGUGGAAGAAGAUCUUGCAUAGCACCAAUUUUGCGGAAUCAGUUAUAGCAAGUUUCUUUGGCAUCGGCACAAAUAUCACUUGCUUCAAAGUUCUCUGCCAAGUUGCAGAAUAAAGCUCCGUCUUCAGUAAAUUCUGCUUUGAAGUAGCAUUGCUGCGUUGCUUUUGUGGCAGCUUUUACAUUACCUUGGCGUGGAGCUUGGUUUGUACACUAGUUGCCCAUGCGCUUCAUUUGCCGCUUAUGCUUUGACGCUGGCUUCACUUGGAGUGUGUAGCUUGAUGAAGCUUGCUGUUUGCAUUGUACUGCUGUAUCAUUUCAUUUGCUCUUUUUUUUUUUGUAUUAUUAUAUUUAUUUUUAUGAACAAACUACAUGCAUAUGGUUUUGGAUCAUGUUAAGGACUUAUUUGGAAAAUGGUUUAAUUGAUUUUGGAA